RNAcentral lists this unclassified non-coding RNA (375 nucleotides) under uncultured Actinomycetes bacterium. RNAcentral's name for it is "uncultured actinobacterium contains 16S-23S intergenic spacer region". Lineage: Bacteria; Bacillati; Actinomycetota; Actinomycetes. The record is from RNAcentral.
UCCGGUUUGGCACCGGCAGUCUCCAAUGAGUCCCCGGCAUUACCCGCUGGCAACAUUGGACAGGGGUUGCGCUCGUUGCGCCACUUAAGGCAACACCUCACGGCACGAGCUGACGACAGCCAUGCAGCACCUGUGCAGGCUCCCGAAGGAGGACCGGCUUUCACCGGCUUCACCCUGCAUGUCAAGUCCAGGUAAGGUUCUUCGCGUUGCGUCGAAUUAAGCCACAUGCUCCGCCGCUUGUGCGGGUCCCCGUCAAUUCCUUUGAGUUUUAAUCUUGCGACCGUACUCCCCAGGCGGGAAGCUUAAUGCGUUUGCUGCGCCACCGAAAGGUAAACCCCCCGACGGCUAGCUUCCAUCGUUUACGGCGCGGACUAC